UCCGUAGGUGAACCUGCGGAGGGAUCAUUACACAAAUAUGAAGGCGGGCUGGAACCUCUCGGGGUUACAGCCUUGCUGAAUUAUUCACCCUUGUCUUUUGCGUACUUCUUGUUUCCUUGGUGGGUUCGCCCACCACUAGGACAAACAUAAACCUUUUGUAAUUGCAAUCAGCGUCAGUAACAAAUUAAUAACUACAACUUUCAACAACGGAUCUCUUGGUUCUGGCAUCGAUGAAGAACGCAGCGAAAUGCGAUAAGUAGUGUGAAUUGCAGAAUUCAGUGAAUCAUCGAAUCUUUGAACGCACAUUGCGCCCUUUGGUAUUCCAAAGGGCAUGCCUGUUCGAGCGUCAUUUGUACCCUCAAGCUUUGCUUGGUGUUGGGCGUCUUGUCUCUAGCUUUGCUGGAGACUCGCCUUAAAGUAAUUGGCAGCCGGCCUACUGGUUUCGGAGCGCAGCACAAGUCGCACUCUCUAUCAGCAAAGGUCUAGCAUCCAUUAAGCCUUUUUUUCAACUUUUGACCUCGGAUCAGGUAGGGAUACCCGCUGAACUUAA
This 550-nucleotide ribosomal RNA is filed under the name uncultured fungus. RNAcentral's name for it is "eukaryotic LSU rRNA". The stretch from base 196 to 349 matches the Rfam family "5.8S ribosomal RNA". Lineage: Eukaryota; Fungi. The record is from RNAcentral.